This is a non-coding RNA of Phoenix dactylifera (date palm), 405 nucleotides long. Lineage: Eukaryota; Viridiplantae; Streptophyta; Magnoliopsida; Arecales; Arecaceae. The record is from RefSeq and is a predicted model, not a curated record.
GGGCUCCACCUCCGGUCCCCUGUUUCUUUCGAAAUAGGGGCCCGGAGGGGGCCCUUUUUAUUUUUGCAUUUUUUGUGUCUCCCCGGCCUCCACCUCCUCCGUGCGGAGGCUCUCCGGCUUCUGCUGGCCAACCUCUCUCUUUCUUUCUCUCCCUCCCUCCCCCACUCUCUCUCUCUCUUUUCCUCUCUUGUUCUUUCUCUCCCCCAUCUCUUCUAUUGUGUCGGUACGGGCCCGACACAGUAUGGUGUGGGCCCGUACCGACUCGUCCUGCCGGACAACCAGUACAGUGCCCUACCAGUUCCAGGCAACGUUGAAUCUACUACCUAAUAUUUCCUUUUAACCAUGGCAUCAAAAGUGAGGUCAUUCUCCACGACAUCUACCAAAAGGAGGCUCAUAAUUUUGGAC